This is a ribosomal RNA of Macadamia integrifolia, 156 nucleotides long. RefSeq annotates it as 5.8S ribosomal RNA. The record is from RefSeq and is a predicted model, not a curated record. The transcript has a single exon. NCBI's taxonomy places the organism in Eukaryota, Viridiplantae, Streptophyta, Magnoliopsida, Proteales, Proteaceae.
GACUCUCGGCAAUGGAUAUCUCUGCUCUUACAUCGAUGAAGAACGUAGUGAAAUGCAAUACUUGGUGUGAAUUAUAGAAUCCCAUGAACCAUCGAGUCUUUGAACGUAAGUUAUUCCCUAGGCCAUCGAGCUGAGGGCACGCUUGCCUGGGCGUCA